UGCCACAGCCAUAUCACCCUGCAACCCAAGAUCGGUAACUCGCUGAAGCCAAGCAGAGUUGACCUUGGUUAGUAUCUGGAUGGGAGACCACAUGCUAAAACUAGGUUGCUGUUGGAG
Molecule: ribosomal RNA, 117 nt
Organism: Danio rerio (zebrafish)
Lineage: Eukaryota; Metazoa; Chordata; Actinopteri; Cypriniformes; Danionidae
Source: Ensembl